RNAcentral lists this ribosomal RNA (458 nucleotides) under Flavobacteriaceae bacterium 06-028663. RNAcentral describes it as "bacterial SSU rRNA". It matches the Rfam family "Bacterial small subunit ribosomal RNA", at positions 250 to 704 of the family's 1533-position model. The record is from RNAcentral. Lineage: Bacteria; Pseudomonadati; Bacteroidota; Flavobacteriia; Flavobacteriales; Flavobacteriaceae.
UGGUAAGGUAACGGCUUACCAAGACGAUGAUGGGUAGGGGUCCUGAGAGGGAGAUCCCCCACACUGGUACUGAGACACGGACCAUACUCCUACGGGAGGCAGCAGUGAGGAAUAUUGGACAAUGGGCGCAAGCCUGAUCCAGCCAUGCCGCGUGCAGGAAGACGGUCCUAUGGGUUGCAAACUGCUUUUAUACAGGAAGAAACACUCCCUCGUGAGGGAGCUUGACGGUACUGUAGGAAUAAGGAUCGGCUAACUCCUAUGCUCAGCGCCGCGGUAAUACGGAGGAUCCAAGCGUUAUCCGGAAUCAUUGGGUUUAAAGGGUCCGUAGGCGGCCUUAUAAGUGAGUGGUGAAAUCUCCUAUCUCAACUAGGAAACUGCCAUUGAUACUGUAGGGUUUGAAUUUUUGUGAAGUAACUAGAAUAUGUAAUGUAGCGGUGAAAUGCUUAGAUCUUACAUGU